UACGUAGGUAGCGAGCGUUAUCCGGAAUUAUUGGGCGUAAAGGGUGCGUAGGCGGCUUGUCAAGUUUAAGGUGAAAGCCUGCGGCUCAACCCCAUUAAGCCGUAGAUACUGGCAAGCUCGAGUACUGGAGAGGGUAGUGGAAUUCUAUGUGUAGCGGUAAAAUGCGUAGAUAUAGGGAAGAACACCGGUGGCGAAGGCGGCUACCUAGACAGUAACUGACACUGAGGCACGAAAGCGUGGGUAGCAAAUAGG
Molecule: ribosomal RNA, 252 nt
Filed under: uncultured bacterium
Lineage: Bacteria
Description: partial 16S ribosomal RNA
Rfam family: Bacterial small subunit ribosomal RNA
Source: RNAcentral